UAUAAAUUUAGUUUCUAAUUUUGUUUUGCACUUGUUCUAAAUGUUUCGAAGUGAUUUUAUCUUUCCAUAGAGUACUUCAGAAUAUACGUUUCAGUUCCAGUGUGUAUUAUAGUGUGUAUUUAUUUAUUUAAAUUCUUGGCCGAUCCCUCACUCUUAAUGUUAUUGAUUGAAAGACACUUCCAUACAGGUUUUUUUUUUCUUAUUCAGAAUGACUUAAUAUCCGAGUUUAUAUAGCCUAGUUUUUAUAUCUGGUAUGGAUGCUUUUACCUCAAGUUGUUUUUUUGCUACUAACGUGGACUGUUGGAACUCAUACAGUUUUUUUCCGUAUUCAAAAAGACUUUUAUACUUGUGUGUACAUAGGUCUUUAUACCUGGGACCUUUUACUUAUCAAUUACCUGAAUCAUAAAGUGGACAUCUGCACUCCAACACUCUGCAGUCCUGCAGUCUCCAGGGGCGCUAUCCCGCUCUGACACCAAUGUGACAGGGUAGCGUCACGGCCCACAAUGUUACCGGCAGAGAGAGAGGGAUCUCUGAACCCCUCUCUGCCCCACCUCUGACACACCGCCUGGGCCCCCUUCAUGGUGCUGCCUGCAUUAAUGAUGUCAUCGUGCUAAACGUCAUCAUGGCUCUCAUUUCCACGAUGGUAGCGUAGAUGAGCGUGUGGUACAUGCUGUCACAAGGAAGAAGAGAGGAGAUGCUAGCGUGGCACAGCGGGAUGGCAAAAAGACUCCCGUUGCGCAGCAGUGUGAUCCAUUGCUGGUCUUACUGGGAGUUUAAUAGUCAGACACACCUGAGCUAGUUACCUAUACACGCUGUGGCUAAUCAAACAAUACACUCCGCAGCACUGAAUAACUGAAAAAGUGAUUCCAUGCUAGAUCUCUCAACACUUUUCCUUCAUGUUUAAAUUUAUGUUGCUACUACAUUAAAAAUGUUUGUUUAACUAUGCAACUUGUACAUGACACUUGUACUUCUGCUAAGAAAUAAAUA
Molecule: long non-coding RNA, 987 nt
Organism: Acipenser ruthenus (sterlet)
Lineage: Eukaryota; Metazoa; Chordata; Actinopteri; Acipenseriformes; Acipenseridae
Exons: 3
Source: RefSeq, a predicted model, not a curated record